Molecule: ribosomal RNA, 313 nt
Filed under: uncultured bacterium
Lineage: Bacteria
Description: bacterial SSU rRNA
Rfam family: Bacterial small subunit ribosomal RNA
Source: RNAcentral
AUUGAACGCUGGCGGCAGGCUUAACACAUGCAAGUCGAGCGGAGACUUCGGUCUUAGCGGCGAACGGGUGAGGAAUGCCUGGGAAUCUGCCUGGUAGUGGGGGAUAACGUUCCGAAAGGAACGCUAAUACCGCAUACGUCCUACGGGAGAAAGCAGGGGACCUUCGGGCCUUGCGCUAUCCAGAUGAGCCCAGGUCGGAUUAGCUAGUAGGUGAGGUAAAGGCUCACCUAGGCGACGAUCCGUAGCUGGUCUGAGAGGAUGAUCAGCCACACUGGAACUGAGACACGGUCCAGACUCCUACGGAGGCAGCAGU